GAUGAAGAACGUAGCGAAAUGCGAUACGUAGUGUGAAUUGCAGAAUUCAGUGAAUCAUCGAAUCUUUGAACGCACAUUGCACCUCUCGGUAUUCCGGGAGGUAUGCCUGUUCGAGCGUCAUUUGUACCCUCAAGCUCUGCUUGGUGUUGGGUGUUUGUUCCGCCUCUGUGUGUGAACUCGCCUCAAAACAAUUAGCAGCCGGCGUACUUGUUUCGGAGCGCAGCACAUUUUGCGAUCCAGAUCAACGUACAGCGGCAUCCAAGAAGCCUUAUUUAACGCUCUUGACCUCGGAUCAGGUAGGGAUACCCGCUGAACUUAAGCAUAUCAAUAAGCGGAGGA
This 339-nucleotide unclassified non-coding RNA is filed under the name soil metagenome. RNAcentral's name for it is "partial contains 5.8S ribosomal RNA, internal transcribed spacer 2, and large subunit ribosomal RNA". The stretch from base 1 to 120 matches the Rfam family "5.8S ribosomal RNA", at positions 35 to 154 of the family's 154-position model. The record is from RNAcentral.